AUCAGUGUGUAGCAAAGUGAGUCUGGGCGGCUCGUGAACGCUGAGUGAGGUUGCGCCGCAGCUUUCCAGCCUCCCACAAGGCGUGACUUCGCCUUUUGAUAGAGAGAAGUUGUUUUUUUUCUCUCAACAUCUCAUUCCUGUGAGCUGAGCACUGAGAGUUCACAAGAACUCUGCCCUCAUCACAACUUCUUCUGCAGAACCAUGAAGACGGUCACUAUUGAGUAUUGUAAAGACUGAAGUUAUGCGUACCGCUACCAGGAACUAGCCGGCGUUCUCCGGCAGAUUCCUGGAGUGAAGGUAAAAGGAGUCACCGGGAGGACAGAUAGCUUUGAGGUAUCCCUGGAGGAUGAACUUCUCUACUCAAAGCUAGAGACGAAGUCGUUUCCAGAUCCUGAGCAGAUGGCGGACAAGGUGAUGGAGAAGGUUCCUGACGAAAACGCCAAGAAGAAAUCCAAGAGAUGGAUAUGCUCCGUCCAGUAAAAAGGUGGAGAAGCAAACGGUUAUAUUCACACCGGCAAAAAAAAAACAACAAACAACAAAAAAAGCUGUAAACCUGUUAUGCGCGUCCGGAGUAUGAAAAUUAGGGAAAGGAUUUUAAUAAGUGGAUGCAAACUGAAAAGAGCCGACACGGCUGUGAAUGUAAACGAGACGUUUGUGAGAGCGGCUCUCUGGAUCCAGGCGGCGAUCGACGCCUCUUUUUAUGAAUGCACACGCCUAAAACUCAAGUGGUGUGUGCACGAUGCAAGCCGAGAAGCUUCUCGGCCGCCUGGAGCCCGACGGUCUGCUUCAGUCCCAUCAAAGUCAUGAGAAACAGGGGGGGGGGGGGGGAAGGGAUGCUCCUGAGAGUCUACGACUCUCAGGAGCAUUCACUUAAUUUUUGACGUAUGUGACGUCUUUAUGAUCUAAAAUAUCUCAUUAAUAUCCGUUUUCCUCUAUCAAAAGUUAAUUACAGAGGAGCAAUAAAGCCAUAAAAUCUGGGCUCAUUAUUCUAUUUUAUAUUUAACCUAAUCUCUGACCCACUUCUCUUCCCACAAUAUCCUGCUGACCAAAAAUAAGCUGCAGAGCUGAGAAACAUGUUUUUCAGAUUGUGUGUUGUAGCCCACAUGGGAACAGGGAAGCCUGGGAACGUAAGACCAAAAACGGCUGUACUUAAUAAACAUUUUAAUAGCACAUGAUAUUCAACACAUGUGUUUAUAUAUAUAUAUAUACUGUAUAUAUAUAUACUGUAUAUAUACAGUAUAUACCCCCCAAGGCAGAUAAUAUUUGAUUAAAACCAUUAAUUUGGGUGAAGCAAAUGUUGGUUUAUGUUAGCUUAGCUUUGCUAUUAUAUUAAAUAUUUUUUCAUCCAACCAACUGCAUAACAUUAAACAAAAAUAAAUUAA
Xiphophorus hellerii (green swordtail) is the source of this 1382-nucleotide long non-coding RNA. RefSeq lists it as uncharacterized. The record is from RefSeq and is a predicted model, not a curated record. Lineage: Eukaryota; Metazoa; Chordata; Actinopteri; Cyprinodontiformes; Poeciliidae. The transcript has 4 exons.